UACGUAGGUGGCAAGCGUUGUCCGGAUUUACUGGGCGUAAAGGGCGUGCAGGCGGUCUGUUAAGUGCAGGGUGAAAGCUCCCGGCUCAACUGGGAGAGGUCCUUGCAUACUGGCGGACUUGAGGGGGGUAGAGGAAAGUGGAAUUCCCGGUGUAGUGGUGAUAUGCGUAGAUAUCUGGAGGAAUACCGGUGGCGAAGGCGGCAUCCUGGACCGGCAUUGACGCUGAGUGAGCGAAAGCCAGGGGAGCAAACGGG
This 254-nucleotide ribosomal RNA is filed under the name uncultured bacterium. Its description in RNAcentral is "partial 16S ribosomal RNA". It matches the Rfam family "Bacterial small subunit ribosomal RNA", at positions 524 to 776 of the family's 1533-position model. The record is from RNAcentral.